UAUUGCACAAUGGGGUAAAUCCUGAUGCAGCGACGCCGCGAGAAGGAAGAAGUGUCCCGGUAUGUAAACUUCUAUCAGCAGGGAAGAAAAUGAAGGUACCUGACUAAGAAGCCCCGGCUAACUACAUGCCAGCAGCCGCGGUAAUACGUAGGGGGCAAGCGUUAUCCGGAUUUACUGGGUGUAAAGGGAGCGUAGACGGAAGAGCAAGUCUGAUGUGAAAGGCUGGGGCUUAACCCCAGGACUGCAUUGGAAACUGUUGUUCUAGAGUGCCGGAGAGGUAAGCGGAAUUCCUAGUGUAGCGGUGAAAUGCGUAGAUAUUAGGAGGAACACCAGUGGCGAAGGCGGCUUACUGGACGGUAACUGACGUUGAGGCUCGAAAGCGUGAGGAGCAAACAG
This 396-nucleotide ribosomal RNA is filed under the name uncultured bacterium. RNAcentral describes it as "bacterial SSU rRNA". It matches the Rfam family "Bacterial small subunit ribosomal RNA", at positions 362 to 775 of the family's 1533-position model. The record is from RNAcentral.